Long non-coding RNA from Amblyraja radiata (thorny skate), 539 nucleotides. RefSeq lists it as uncharacterized. The transcript is spliced from 3 exons. Lineage: Eukaryota; Metazoa; Chordata; Chondrichthyes; Rajiformes; Rajidae. The record is from RefSeq and is a predicted model, not a curated record.
GGUAUAGAAGUAGACAUGUCAUUGCCUGCUGGAGGGAGAGAAUGCUUCAAAGAUUGGCUCAACCUGACUCUUCCCUUGACAUGAGUGUCCUUGAUUCCAUCCUUCGCACUCUAAUUGUCCAGAGUUGCAGUCAAUCCUAACCAGCAAGAAAUGGAAAAGACCGUAUACCAAAUGGAAAGAACAAAGCCUUGUGAUAGACACUAUACUUGAAAACGUCCUAAAAUGUAACAAUGACGGGCAUCAGUCUUGGAUCCACAAUCUGAGGGGAGGAGGAAGACGUGCGAGGAAAUCUCAGUCUUUGCUGAAGACGACAAGUCGGAUUGUGUUAAUUACAGAAUAGUUUCCCUGUUGUCUACUACUGGGAAAGUCAUCAGCAGUGGCCUCUUUAUUUAUCUCCAACCAUUAGCUGAAAACUUGCUCAUCAAAUUGCCGUUUGGAUUUCAUCCACCUUGAGGUACUGUGCGCCCGACUUUUCAUGCAUGAUAAAUGUAAGAGAAAGCUAUUAAUACCAUCAAAUCCUAGAGGUUCAAACACAAAGU